GAUAUUUAUUUUUGUUAAACUGUGACCAUAUAAAAUAACUUUUAAUGUAAAUUUAAAAGAAAUUGCCGGGAACAAAUGUUUUUCUUAAGGUUCUUACUUCGUUGUGACCUCAUAUUAUUGUAUGACGUCAGAGGGGUUAAAUUUCAGGAUUAAGUUCAUAUGUGAAACAUAUUGUGUUUUUUUUACUCAGUCUUUCAUUGCAACCA
Molecule: long non-coding RNA, 206 nt
Filed under: Mytilus galloprovincialis (Mediterranean mussel)
Lineage: Eukaryota; Metazoa; Mollusca; Bivalvia; Mytilida; Mytilidae
Source: RNAcentral